GUAAGGAAUAUUGGUCAAUGGAGGCAACUCUGAACCAGCCACGCCGCGUGGAGGAUGAAGGUCCUCUGGAUUGUAAACUUCUUUUAUAUGGGACGAAAAAAGGCUUCUCUAAGUCGUCUGACGGUACCAUAUGAAUAAGCACCGGCUAACUCCGUGCCAGCAGCCGCGGUAAUACGGAGGGUGCAAGCGUUAUCCGGAUUCACUGGGUUUAAAGGGUGCGUAGGUGGGUUGGUAAGUCAGUGGUGAAAUCCCCGAGCUUAACUUGGGAACUGCCAUUGAUACUAUCAGUCUUGAAUACCGUGGAGGUCGGCGGAAUAUGUCAUGUAGCGGUGAAAUGCUUAGAUAUGACAUAGAACACCAAUUGCGAAGGCAGCUGGCUACGCGGAUAUUGACACUGAGGCACGAAAGCGUGGGGAUCAAACAGGAUU
RNAcentral lists this ribosomal RNA (428 nucleotides) under uncultured Terrimonas sp. RNAcentral describes it as "bacterial SSU rRNA". It matches the Rfam family "Bacterial small subunit ribosomal RNA", at positions 354 to 779 of the family's 1533-position model. The record is from RNAcentral. Lineage: Bacteria; Pseudomonadati; Bacteroidota; Chitinophagia; Chitinophagales; Chitinophagaceae.